GCUAAAAUAAUAAACUUAAUAUUAGUAUAAACCUGCAUCCAUAAAUGCAUACAUAAUUAGGACUGUGUGUUAAUUUUCAUAUUUUCUUCUAUGUUCAAGGGAUAUUGUCAUCAGUAGGCCACACCCAUGUGAUGACUUCUAGCAAUCUAUGAUAAUGACACAAGGCACAGUUUUUCUUCCAGGGCAUUGAUUGAAACUCAAAACCUCCAUAAUAUUUAUAAGUAUUCAGAUUUUGGCAUCCCUUCAAGGCUGUAGCAGUAAUGGAUUCCUUUCGAUCUCAAACUCGAAAGAAAAGGCUGACUCCAAACCAGCUGAUGCUUUUGGAAACUAAUUUUAACUUCGAUAGCAAGCUCGACCCAGGUAGAAAGUCCCAACUCGCAUUACAACUAGGCGUGCCACCUAGGCAAGUAGCGACAUGGUAUCAGAACAGACGUGCACGUGACAAGAAUCAGAGUCUCGAGAUUGAUCACAAAAUUUUGCAGUUAAGACUCGAAAAUAUUUUAUCGCACAAUGCUAAGUUGCAAGAAGAAGUAGCGAGGCUUAAGGACGAGUUAAAUAAGGUUCAAGAAAUGUUACAAACCUUCAACUCUUCAAUUUCGAGCUCGUCUGAUGAAGUUGGAAGCACCAAUUUGAUUCAUAGCUCCAAGAAUCAUUUGGAUAUGGAGCCCUAUGCUUCUUUUAUCCGUGACGCAGGCCAGUUUGGGCCAAUAGAAGGGGAUGACUUAUUUGCUUGAUCUUGGCUUACUUGGAAAUCUACUUCCAUUAAAUUUAAAAAUAUCAGAAACACUUCAUUUUCAUUAGUGUAUAUAUAUGUGAAAUGAUUGGCUUGUAAUGCAUCAGAAUCGAUUGUCUGUUGACAGCCUUUUCCGAUGGAAUAAUAUUCCAAUGAGAGAUGAUAUGUAAACUACUCUUGAUAGAGGUAAUACUAAGAAAAAAUGCUUUAAGUACAGAUUAUCUCCCUGUGAUUUGCUGUUGCUAAAAACUAUUUUUAACAGCAGUUAAUUCCUAUGAGACAGUUGUGUUUUCUGUAGAAAAUCUGUUAAAAUAAUUUGUACUUGAAGAAUAAUUCACUACUACUCUGGGACAGUGUUCUAAAGAUUAUCAAAGACCCAGAUUUCCCUAAUCUUCC
RNAcentral lists this long non-coding RNA (1129 nucleotides) under Olea europaea (common olive). RNAcentral's name for it is "long non-coding RNA (OEUR_LNC008000)". The record is from RNAcentral. Lineage: Eukaryota; Viridiplantae; Streptophyta; Magnoliopsida; Lamiales; Oleaceae.